This 976-nucleotide long non-coding RNA is filed under the name Brachypodium distachyon (stiff brome). RNAcentral describes it as "long non-coding RNA (BDIS_LNC004530)". The record is from RNAcentral. Lineage: Eukaryota; Viridiplantae; Streptophyta; Magnoliopsida; Poales; Poaceae.
UGCAUGUGUUGGAGAAUCUUUCUGCAGCCUCCACCGGUUCCUCCGGGUAGUUUUCUUUAUUCAGCUUGGUAACGACCCACGACUCCGUCGGCACCUUGUUCGCCCCCCGCUUGGACUUCGACUGAGUAGUCGACUCCGUAGCCUGAGACGUCGCACCCUGGGCUUUUUCCUCAUUAGCUGCUCCUUCAAGGAGCAGCAGCUCCUCGGCUCCUUCAAGGAACAACUGCUCCUCGCUCAUGACAAUUUCCGAGCCCGAGGAAAAUGCCCCCGCUUCUUCUUUGACUUGUCCCUCCACAACCGGUGGCUGCUCAGGCACCUCUUCAACGCGAGCCUGAGGUUCCUAUCCAACACUUAUAAAAGUAAUUUAAAAAAAACGGAAAAAUUCGGCAUGACCUAUGCCGUAAAACAAGAAAAUUUCGGCAUGACCAUUGCUAUAAAACAACAAAUGAGUCUACUCGAAUGUUAUACGUGCAUAAAAAAAACUCCCACCCACAUAUACCCCCUCGACACGAUGGCCGGACCCUUCUCAACGACCUGGCACGAUGGCCGGGCCCACAUUCGUCAUAUCAACCGACACGAUGGUCGGGAUAACAUGCAUGUAUCAUUAAACCAUAAACAGCAAUAACAUCAAUACUUAAUCCUUAAUAGCUAGAACUAAACAUAAACAACAAUAUUUAAACGCUAACUAAACAUAAACAACAACCCUAAUUUAAAAAAAACAGCAAGAUUCAACCCUAACUAACUGUAGAACUAAACAUAAACAAAAAUAUUUACACCCUAACUAAACAUAAACAAUAAGAUUCAACCCUAAUUAACUAUAGAACUAAAUUUUUUAAACCCUAACUAAACAUAAACAACAAGAUUUUAAACCCUAACUAAACAUAAACAGCAAAAUUAAACGUAACCCUAAUUAAACCCUAAGCGUACCGGGGUCGCGACGGCGAGGGUCGUCGGGGCCGGGGCCGGGGUCAGGGUC